Molecule: ribosomal RNA, 1609 nt
Filed under: Escherichia coli
Lineage: Bacteria; Pseudomonadati; Pseudomonadota; Gammaproteobacteria; Enterobacterales; Enterobacteriaceae
Description: partial 23S ribosomal RNA
Rfam family: Bacterial large subunit ribosomal RNA
Source: RNAcentral
AUAAUGGGUCAGCGACUUAUAUUCUGUAGCAAGGUUAACCGAAUAGGGGAGCCGAAGGGAAACCGAGUCUUAACUGGGCGUUAAGUUGCAGGGUAUAGACCCGAAACCCGGUGAUCUAGCCAUGGGCAGGUUGAAGGUUGGGUAACACUAACUGGAGGACCGAACCGACUAAUGUUGAAAAAUUAGCGGAUGACUUGUGGCUGGGGGUGAAAGGCCAAUCAAACCGGGAGAUAGCUGGUUCUCCCCGAAAGCUAUUUAGGUAGCGCCUCGUGAAUUCAUCUCCGGGGGUAGAGCACUGUUUCGGCAAGGGGGUCAUCCCGACUUACCAACCCGAUGCAAACUGCGAAUACCGGAGAAUGUUAUCACGGGAGACACACGGCGGGUGCUAACGUCCGUCGUGAAGAGGGAAACAACCCAGACCGCCAGCUAAGGUCCCAAAGUCAUGGUUAAGUGGGAAACGAUGUGGGAAGGCCCAGACAGCCAGGAUGUUGGCUUAGAAGCAGCCAUCAUUUAAAGAAAGCGUAAUAGCUCACUGGUCGAGUCGGCCUGCGCGGAAGAUGUAACGGGGCUAAACCAUGCACCGAAGCUGCGGCAGCGACACUAUGUGUUGUUGGGUAGGGGAGCGUUCUGUAAGCCUGUGAAGGUGUACUGUGAGGUAUGCUGGAGGUAUCAGAAGUGCGAAUGCUGACAUAAGUAACGAUAAAGCGGGUGAAAAGCCCGCUCGCCGGAAGACCAAGGGUUCCUGUCCAACGUUAAUCGGGGCAGGGUGAGUCGACCCCUAAGGCGAGGCCGAAAGGCGUAGUCGAUGGGAAACAGGUUAAUAUUCCUGUACUUGGUGUUACUGCGAAGGGGGGACGGAGAAGGCUAUGUUGGCCGGGCGACGGUUGUCCCGGUUUAAGCGUGUAGGCUGGUUUUCCAGGCAAAUCCGGAAAAUCAAGGCUGAGGCGUGAUGACGAGGCACUACGGUGCUGAAGCAACAAAUGCCCUGCUUCCAGGAAAAGCCUCUAAGCAUCAGGUAACAUCAAAUCGUACCCCAAACCGACACAGGUGGUCAGGUAGAGAAUACCAAGGCGCUUGAGAGAACUCGGGUGAAGGAACUAGGCAAAAUGGUGCCGUAACUUCGGGAGAAGGCACGCUGAUAUGUAGGUGAAGUCCCUUGCGGAUGGAGCUGAAAUCAGUCGAAGAUACCAGCUGGCUGCAACUGUUUAUUAAAAACACAGCACUGUGCAAACACGAAAGUGGACGUAUACGGUGUGACGCCUGCCCGGUGCCGGAAGGUUAAUUGAUGGGGUCAGCGCAAGCGAAGCUCUUGAUCGAAGCCCCGGUAAACGGCGGCCGUAACUAUAACGGUCCUAAGGUAGCGAAAUUCCUUGUCGGGUAAGUUCCGACCUGCACGAAUGGCGUAAUGAUGGCCAGGCUGUCUCCACCCGAGACUCAGUGAAAUUGAACUCGCUGUGAAGAUGCAGUGUACCCGCGGCAAGACGGAAAGACCCCGUGAACCUUUACUAUAGCUUGACACUGAACAUUGAGCCUUGAUGUGUAGGAUAGGUGGGAGGCUUUGAAGUGUGGACGCCAGUCUGCAUGGAGCCGACCUUGAAAUACCACCCUU